GCGUGAAUGAUGAAGGCCCUCGGGUUGUAAAGUUCUUUUGGUGGGGAAGAUGAUGACUGUACCCACAGAAUAAGCUCCGGCUAACUUCGUGCCAGCAGCCGCGGUAAUACGAAGGGAGCUAGCGUUGUUCGGAAUUACUGGGCGUAAAGGGUGCGUAGGCGGUUUAGUUAGUCAGAUGUGAAAGCCCCGGGCUCAACCUGGGAACUGCGUUUGAUACUGCUAAACUUGAAUUCGGUAGAGGUGAGUGGAAUUCCCAGUGUAGAGGUGAAAUUCGU
RNAcentral lists this ribosomal RNA (275 nucleotides) under uncultured bacterium. RNAcentral's name for it is "partial 16S ribosomal RNA". It matches the Rfam family "Bacterial small subunit ribosomal RNA", at positions 399 to 691 of the family's 1533-position model. The record is from RNAcentral.